Gossypium hirsutum (cotton) is the source of this 146-nucleotide non-coding RNA. The record is from Rfam. NCBI's taxonomy places the organism in Eukaryota, Viridiplantae, Streptophyta, Magnoliopsida, Malvales, Malvaceae.
UGUUAAAAAAAUUCAUCCAUUUGUGUUGCUAAAAACUAAUAUGGUUGACAAAAUAAUCAAAUAAUGACACGUGGCAUGCCACUUGUACAUCACGUUGAUAUGCAUAAACCAAUUUUUAAAAGUAAAAAUAAAUGAAAUUUUUAACA